CAGGUAUUGUUAUCUUAGGAGAUGGCAGCUCCAUGUGUGUUACUGCCCCUGAAGCCCUUCCAGUGGGAUAAGUCACACCUGCUGGCAUCCCGAGCAGUCAGCGACAGAGCAGCACAGUGUCAGAGCUCUCCUUGACCUCUCGAUUUCUGCCCACACCUACUCACGCCAGCCCUGGAGGCUCUGCCGUCUGAAGCCCUUCCCACCAGCUCUGGCUUUCCAGGCCCUCCCUGAGCCCCACAGUCCUCUGUGCCUGGGUCCCUUAUAUGGUCUCUUGCUCCCCACCUCUCCAUCCUAUGCCCUCUGGUUACCACCCACCCCAAAUGGCUGCAUUAAUUACUGUGAUGGUUAAUACUGAGUGUCAACUUGAUUGGAUUAAAGGAUACAAAGUAUUGAUCCU
This 397-nucleotide long non-coding RNA is filed under the name Homo sapiens (human). RNAcentral's name for it is "HSALNT0223349". Lineage: Eukaryota; Metazoa; Chordata; Mammalia; Primates; Hominidae. The record is from RNAcentral.